Molecule: ribosomal RNA, 497 nt
Filed under: uncultured bacterium
Lineage: Bacteria
Description: partial 16S ribosomal RNA
Rfam family: Bacterial small subunit ribosomal RNA
Source: RNAcentral
GAUGAACGCUGGCGGCGUGCCUAAUACAUGCAAGUCGAGCGAACGGACGAGAAGCUUGCUUCUCUGAUGUUAGCGGCGGACGGGUGAGUAACACGUGGAUAACCUACCUAUAAGACUGGGAUAACUUCGGGAAACCGGAGCUAAUACCGGAUAAUAUUUUGAACCGCAUGGUUCAAAAGUAAAAGACGGUCUUGCUGUCACUUAUAGAUGGAUCCGCGCUGCAUUAGCUAGUUGGUAAGGUAACGGCUUACCAAGGCAACGAUGCAUAGCCGACCUGAGAGGGUGAUCGGCCACACUGGAACUGAGACACGGUCCAGACUCCUACGGGAGGCAGCAGUAGGGAAUCUUCCGCAAUGGGCGAAAGCCUGACGGAGCAACGCCGCGUGAGAGAUGAAGGUCUUCGGAUCGUAAAACUCUGUUAUUAGUGAAGAACAUAUGUGUAAGUAACUGUGCACAUCUUGACGGUACCUAAUCAGAAAGCCACGGCUAACUACGUG